This 292-nucleotide ribosomal RNA is filed under the name uncultured Rikenellaceae bacterium. RNAcentral describes it as "partial 16S ribosomal RNA". It matches the Rfam family "Bacterial small subunit ribosomal RNA", at positions 1090 to 1382 of the family's 1533-position model. Lineage: Bacteria; Pseudomonadati; Bacteroidota; Bacteroidia; Bacteroidales; Rikenellaceae. The record is from RNAcentral.
UAACGAGCGCAACCCCUACUGCUAGUUGCCAGCGGGUCAUGCCGGGGACUCUAGCGGAACUGCCAGCGUAAGCUGCGAGGAAGGUGGGAUGACGUCAAAUCAGCACGGCCCUUACGUCCAGGGCUACACACGUGUUACAAUGGCCGGUACAGAGGGCAGCCACCCCGCGAGGGGGCGCGAAUCCCGAAAGCCGGUCCCAGUUCGGAUCGGAGUCUGCAACCCGACUCCGUGAAGCUGGAUUCGCUAGUAAUCGCGCAUCAGCCACGGCGCGGUGAAUACGUUCCCGGGCCUU